UACGGAGGAUGCAAGCGUUAUCCGGAAUGAUUGGGCGUAAAGCGUCCGCAGGUGGCAAUGUAAGUCUGCUGUUAAAGAGUCUAGCUCAACUAGAUAAAAGCAGUGGAAACUACAUAGCUAGAGUACGUUCGGGGCAGAGGGAAUUCCUGGUGUAGCGGUGAAAUGCGUAGAGAUCAGGAAGAACACCAGUGGCGAAGGCGCUCUGCUAGGCCGUAACCGACACUGAGGGACGAAAGCUAGGGGAGCGAAUGGG
This 253-nucleotide ribosomal RNA is filed under the name uncultured bacterium. Its description in RNAcentral is "partial 16S ribosomal RNA". It matches the Rfam family "Bacterial small subunit ribosomal RNA", at positions 524 to 776 of the family's 1533-position model. The record is from RNAcentral.